GUGGUUAGCACGGCUGCCUGUAACCCAGAGGUAAUGGGUUCAAGGCUCGUCGCUGCUAC
RNAcentral lists this microRNA precursor (59 nucleotides) under Ciona intestinalis (vase tunicate). RNAcentral describes it as "miRNA (ENSCING00000025141.1)". The record is from RNAcentral. Lineage: Eukaryota; Metazoa; Chordata; Ascidiacea; Phlebobranchia; Cionidae.